This 465-nucleotide ribosomal RNA is filed under the name uncultured Klebsiella sp. RNAcentral's name for it is "bacterial SSU rRNA". It matches the Rfam family "Bacterial small subunit ribosomal RNA", at positions 338 to 795 of the family's 1533-position model. The record is from RNAcentral. Lineage: Bacteria; Pseudomonadati; Pseudomonadota; Gammaproteobacteria; Enterobacterales; Enterobacteriaceae.
CCUACGGGUGGCUGCAGUGGGGAAUAUUGCACAAUGGGCGCAAGCCUGAUGCAGCCAUGCCGCGUGUGUGAAGAAGGCCUUCGGGUUGUAAAGCACUUUCAGCGGGGAGGAAGGCGGUGCGGUUAAUAACCUCAUCGAUUGACGUUACCCGCAGAAGAAGCACCGGCUAACUCCGUGCCAGCAGCCGCGGUAAUACGGAGGGUGCAAGCGUUAAUCGGAAUUACUGGGCGUAAAGCGCACGCAGGCGGUCUGUCAAGUCGGAUGUGAAAUCCCCGGGCUCAACCUGGGAACUGCAUUCGAAACUGGCAGGCUAGAGUCUUGUAGAGGGGGGUAGAAUUCCAGGCGUAGCGGUGAAAUGCGUAGAGAUCUGGAGGAAUACCGGUGGCGAAGGCGGCCCCCUGGACAAAGACUGACGCUCAGGUGCGAAAGCGUGGGGAGCAAACAGGAUUAGAUACCCCGGUAGUC